AUACGGAGGAUCCGAGCGUUAUCCGGAUUUAUUGGGUUUAAAGGGUGCGCAGGCGGCCAUUUAAGUCAGCGGUUAAAUCGUGGGGCUCAACCCCAUUCUGCCGUUGAUACUGUGUGGCUUGAUUGCGGUCGAGGUUGGCGGAAUUCGUUGUGUAGCGGUGAAAUGCAUAGAUAUGACGAAGAACACCGAUUGCGUAGGCAGCUGACCAGACCGCAAAUGACGCUCAUGCACGAAAGUGCGGGGAUCGAACAGGAUUAGAUACCCUGGUAGUCCGCACAGUAAACGAUGAAUACUUGUUUUCGGCGAUAUAAUGUCGGAGGCAAAGCGAAAGCGAUAAGUAUUCCACCUGGGGAGUACGCCGGCAACGGUGAAACUCAAAUGAAUUGGCGGGG
Molecule: ribosomal RNA, 392 nt
Filed under: uncultured bacterium
Lineage: Bacteria
Description: partial 16S ribosomal RNA
Rfam family: Bacterial small subunit ribosomal RNA
Source: RNAcentral